RNAcentral lists this ribosomal RNA (253 nucleotides) under uncultured bacterium. RNAcentral describes it as "partial 16S ribosomal RNA". It matches the Rfam family "Bacterial small subunit ribosomal RNA", at positions 524 to 776 of the family's 1533-position model. The record is from RNAcentral.
AACGUAGGAGGCGAGCGGUAUCCGGAUUUACUGGGUGUAAAGCGCGUGCAGGCGGUCUGGAAAGUGGUGCGUGAAAGCGCCCGGCUUAACCGGGCGAGGACGUGCUAAACUGUCAGGCUGGAGGCAGGCAGAGGCGUGUGGAAUUCCGGGUGUAGUGGUGAAAUGCGUAGAGAUCCGGAGGAACACCAGUGGCGCAGGCGACACGCUGGGCCUGACCUGACGCUCAGACGCGAAAGCAUGGGGAGCGAACGGG